This 247-nucleotide ribosomal RNA is filed under the name uncultured bacterium. RNAcentral describes it as "partial 16S ribosomal RNA". It matches the Rfam family "Bacterial small subunit ribosomal RNA", at positions 524 to 770 of the family's 1533-position model. The record is from RNAcentral.
UACGGAGGGUGCAAGCGUUAUCCGGAUUUACUGGGUUUAAAGGGUGCGUAGGUGGGUCUGUAAGUCAGUGGUGAAAUCUCCGAGCUUAACUCGGAAACUGCCAUUGAUACUAUAGAUCUUGAAUUAUCUGGAGGUGAGCGGAAUAUGUCAUGUAGCGGUGAAAUGCUUAGAUAUGACAUAGAACACCAAUUGCGAAGGCAGCUCACUACGGAUUGAUUGACACUGAGGCACGAAAGCGUGGGGAUCA